UUAGUUGGGCAGUAAAUAAUUAUACUAAAAUUGGAACGAUACAGAGAAGAUUAUAAUGGCCCCUGCGAAAGGGAACUCUUAGGAAUGAUAGUACAGUAGGCCUACUU
Small nuclear RNA from Nilaparvata lugens (brown planthopper), 107 nucleotides. Lineage: Eukaryota; Metazoa; Arthropoda; Insecta; Hemiptera; Delphacidae. The record is from RefSeq and is a predicted model, not a curated record.